CUGUGGAGGAUUUAGCCACCCUUAAACUUGAAGGGAAUCAUGCCUUCCUAGUUCCUUCUUUCUAGUCCGUUCCCCCCAAUUUCUAUACUUCUUCCUCUUCCUCCUCUCACCUCCUCCUCUCACCUCACUGAAGUAUUGAAGUGCUCGCGUUUCAAUUCUCAUUCCAUGGCGAACAAGCUCUGCAAUCAGGAUAUUUUGGAGCAGCUGAGAAACGGUACAGCAAAAUUUGAGCUUGUAUCUUCGCCACUUCCUUCACUUGCUGCUGCUGCUGCUCCUAAAUUCAGUAACAUCACAAGCUUAUUUGGAAUCGGAAAUUGUAGCACUAGCACUCUUUUUUUCGCUAGAAUUUCCUCAUCACUUGGUGGACAGUCUCCAGCUAUGAAGAAGCUAGAGCAGUUUUCGGUUCAGAAGGUCACAGGGGAUGGAAGGUGUAUGUUUCGUGCACUGGUCAAAGGAAUGGCUUACAAUAAAGGAGUCUCUCUUAACCAACGCAAGGAGACAGAAGAUGCAGAUGAACUAAGAAGGGCUGUGAAAGAAGUUCUAUGUGAUAAUAAUGGAGAGCGUAAAUUAUAUAAAGAAGCUCUCAUUGCCAUCACAGUUGCUGAGUCUCUACCACGUUACUGCCAACGAAUUGCGCGAUCUGAUUUUUGGGGAGGAGAGUCAGAGCUGCUGGUACUGGCAAAGUUAUGUAAGCAGCCAAUUAUUGUUUACAUACCAGAGCAUGAGUAUACAGGGAGUGGUUGGGGAUCUGGUUUCAUUGCCAUUGCGGAGUAUGGAAGUGAGUUCAAAAACGGUACUACAAACAGGACUCCCAAGAAACCUGUGAGGCUAUUGUUCAGUGGCAAGAACCAUUAUGAUCUUUUGCUAUGAGGAACUGCAUGAUGAUGGAUGAAGAGACAAGGAAAGGAAAGAAAGAAAAUGAGAGGUAGGGUCAGCUACAUGGAUGAAACGAUGUCAUUGUACCCUUGUACCCUACCCUAUUAUGUAUCAUGUAUGCAGUGAAAAUGUUGACACGCAGAUUUUCUUCGACUAUUUCAUGUAUGAUCUUUUUAGGUCUUUCUUUAGUAUACGUCAUAUGUCCACUCUUUAUCUCAUCCACUCUCCUAA
This is an RNA transcript of Arachis stenosperma, 1107 nucleotides long. It is a transcript of the gene named OVARIAN TUMOR DOMAIN-containing deubiquitinating enzyme 3, with no coding region annotated. The transcript has 9 exons. Lineage: Eukaryota; Viridiplantae; Streptophyta; Magnoliopsida; Fabales; Fabaceae. The record is from RefSeq and is a predicted model, not a curated record.